This 229-nucleotide ribosomal RNA is filed under the name uncultured bacterium. Its description in RNAcentral is "partial 16S ribosomal RNA". It matches the Rfam family "Bacterial small subunit ribosomal RNA", at positions 568 to 796 of the family's 1533-position model. The record is from RNAcentral.
UCCGUAGGCGGGUAAUUAAGUCAGAGGUGAAAUCCCACAGCUUAACUGUGGAACUGCCUUAGAUACUGGUUAUCUUGAGUUUUAGUGAAGUAGAUAGAAUGUGUAGUGUAGCGGUGAAAUGCAUAGAUAUUACACAGAAUACCGAUUGCGAAGGCAGUCUACUAACUAUCAACUGACGCUAAUGGACGAAAGCGUGGGGAGCGAACAGGAUUAGAUACCCUGGUAGUCC